RNAcentral lists this ribosomal RNA (497 nucleotides) under uncultured bacterium. RNAcentral describes it as "partial 16S ribosomal RNA". It matches the Rfam family "Bacterial small subunit ribosomal RNA", at positions 28 to 507 of the family's 1533-position model. The record is from RNAcentral.
GAUGAACGCUGGCGGCGUGCCUAACACAUGCAAGUCGAGCGAACGGACGAGAACCUUGCUUCUCUGAUGUUAGCGGCGGACGGGUGAGUAACACGUGGAUAACCUACCUAUAAGACUGGGAUAACUUCGGGAAACCGGAGCUAAUACCGGAUAAUAUUUUGAACCGCAUGGUUCAAAAGUGAAAGACGGUCUUGCUGUCACUUAUAGAUGGACCCGCGCUGCAUUAGCUAGUUGGUAAGGUGACGGCUUACCAAGGCCACGAUGCCUAGCCGACCUGAGAGGGUGAUCGGCCACACUGGAGCUGAGACACGGUCCAGACUCCUACGGGAGGCAGCAGUAGGGAAUCUUACGCAAUGGGCGAAAGCCUGCUGGAGCAACGCCGCGUGGUGGAUGAAGGUCUUCGGAUCGUAAAACUCUGUUAUUAGGGAAGAAGAAAUGUGUACGUAACUGUGCGCAUCUUGACGGUACCUAAUCAGAAAGCCACGGCUAACUACGUG